GCAGACCCCAUGUUGUGCCCCCAUUUUGGGGCUUUUCCUCAGUACCUGAGACUGGACUGACCUCUGAGGACAGCUGAGGAAUGGGACAAGAACCAUCCAUCUCAGAGAUGCUGCUGCUGCCCCUGCUGUGGGCAGGUUCUGGGGCUCAGAGUGGAAUAUUCCAGCUGCAACUACGGGAGUCAGUGACGGCGCAGGAGGGUCUUGGGGAGGCGAGUAUUGAGAGCGCCUGCAGUAUUGAGCCCUGACAGAUCAAUAAUCACUCUAAGUGUAAAUGGAUCGAAUUCUCCAAUCAAAAGACACAGAGUAGACCGAUGGGUUAAAAAAACAACAGCUAACAAUAUGCUGCCUGCAGGAAACACAUCUCAGCUCUAAAGACAAACACAGGCUCGGAGUGAAGGGAUGGAACAUGAUACCCCAAGCAGAUGGCAAGCCAAAGACAGCAGGUGUUGCCAUAUUUGCAUCAGAGAAAGCAGACUUCAAGGUGAAAAAGAGAAUGAGAGACAAAGAGGGGCGGUAUAUAAUGAU
Equus quagga is the source of this 525-nucleotide long non-coding RNA. RefSeq lists it as uncharacterized. NCBI's taxonomy places the organism in Eukaryota, Metazoa, Chordata, Mammalia, Perissodactyla, Equidae. The record is from RefSeq and is a predicted model, not a curated record. The transcript is spliced from 3 exons.